RNAcentral lists this ribosomal RNA (336 nucleotides) under Acanthamoeba genotype T4. Its description in RNAcentral is "SSU rRNA". It matches the Rfam family "Eukaryotic small subunit ribosomal RNA", at positions 759 to 1072 of the family's 1831-position model. Lineage: Eukaryota; Discosea; Longamoebia; Acanthamoebidae. The record is from RNAcentral.
GAAAAAAUUAGAGUUUUCAAAACCGGCUGAGGCAAUUUUUCUCCUUCGAAUCCUUUAGCAUGGGAUCAGGGAAUAGGACCCGGCCCACCUAUUUUCCGUUGGAUUUGGCGGCUUUCAGGACUAGGGUAAUGAUUAAUAGGGAUAGUUGGGGGCAUUAAUAUUUAUUUGCCGGAGGUGAAAUUCUUGGAUUUAUGAAACAUUAACUUCUGCGAAAGUUUCUGCCAAGGAUGUUUUCCUUAAUCGAGAACGAAGGUAAGGGGAUCUUUUACGAUCAAAUACCGUCGUCCUCUUAGCUUUCAGCGAUGCCGACCAGCCCCCAGGAGACGUUGAAUACAA